GAUUCAGACCCUGUCAGUGUACCAGGUGGACAUUGGGUUUGAUUCAGACCCUGCCAGUGUACCAGGUGGACAUUGGGUUUAAUUCAGACCCUGCCAGUGUACCAGAUGGACAUUGUGUUGAUUCAGACCCUGUCAGUGUACCAGGUGGACAUUGGGUUUGAUUCAGACCCUGUCAGUGUUCCAGGUGGACAUUGGGUUUGAUUCAGACCCUGUCAGUGUACCAGGUGGACAUUGGGUUGGAUUCAGACCCUGUCAGUGUGCCAGGUGGACAUUGGGUUUGAUUCAGACCCUGCCAGUGUACCAGGUGGACAUUGGGUUGAUUCAGACCCUGUCAGUGUUCCAGGUGGACAUUGGGUUUGAUUCAGACCCUGUCAGUGUACCAGGUGGACAUUGGGUUGGAUUCAGACCCUGUCAGUGUGCCAGGUGGACAUUGGGUUUGAUUCAGACCCUGCCAGUGUACCAGGUGGACAUUGGGUUGGAUUCAGACCCUGUCAGUGUACCAGAUGGACAUUGGGUUUGAUUCAGACCCUGCCAGUGUACCAGGUGGACAUUGGGUUGAUUCAGACCCUGUCAGUGUUCCAGGUGGACAUUGGGUUUGAUUCAGACCCUGUCAGUGUACCAGGUGGACAUUGGGUUGGAUUCAGACCCUGUCAGUGUGCCAGGUGGACAUUGGGUUUGAUUCAGACCCUGCCAGUGUACCAGGUGGACAUUGGGUUUGAUUCAGACCCUGCCAGUGUACCAGGUGGACAUUGGGUUUGAUUCAGACCCUGCCAGUGUACCAGGUGGACAUUGGGUUUGAUUCAGACCCUGUCAGUGUGCCAGGUGGACAUUGGGUUGGAUUCAGACCCUGCCAGUGUACCAGGUGGACAUUGGGUUGGAUUUCCUCCAUACAGAUUUUCUCCAUGUCCUUGUUUAAUUUAGUCUGUCUUGUGGACUGCCC
This 940-nucleotide long non-coding RNA is filed under the name Salmo salar (Atlantic salmon). RNAcentral describes it as "lncRNA (ENSSSAG00000089171.1)". Lineage: Eukaryota; Metazoa; Chordata; Actinopteri; Salmoniformes; Salmonidae. The record is from RNAcentral.